GCCUCUGUAGCUCAGUUGGUUAGAGCGCUGUCACCGGAAUCACAGGGCCGUAGGUUCAAUUCCUACCAGAGGAC
Molecule: transfer RNA, 74 nt
Filed under: Paramuricea clavata
Lineage: Eukaryota; Metazoa; Cnidaria; Anthozoa; Malacalcyonacea; Plexauridae
Rfam family: tRNA
About the family: Transfer RNA (tRNA) molecules are approximately 80 nucleotides in length. Their secondary structure includes four short double-helical elements and three loops (D, anti-codon, and T loops). Further hydrogen bonds mediate the characteristic L-shaped molecular structure. tRNAs have two regions of fundamental functional importance: the anti-codon, which is responsible for specific mRNA codon recognition, and the 3' end, to which the tRNAs corresponding amino acid is attached (by aminoacyl-tRNA synthetases). tRNAs cope with the degeneracy of the genetic code in two manners: having more than one tRNA (with a specific anti-codon) for a particular amino acid; and 'wobble' base-pairing, i.e. permitting non-standard base-pairing at the 3rd anti-codon position.
Source: Rfam by way of RNAcentral